This 77-nucleotide transfer RNA is filed under the name uncultured Nocardioidaceae bacterium. RNAcentral's name for it is "tRNA-Arg-TCT". It matches the Rfam family "tRNA". From Rfam's summary of the family: Transfer RNA (tRNA) molecules are approximately 80 nucleotides in length. Their secondary structure includes four short double-helical elements and three loops (D, anti-codon, and T loops). The record is from RNAcentral. Lineage: Bacteria; Bacillati; Actinomycetota; Actinomycetes; Propionibacteriales; Nocardioidaceae.
GCCCCCGUAGCUCAGCUGGACAGAGCGACAGACUUCUAAUCUGUUGGUCGCAGGUUCGAGUCCUGCCGGGGGCGCCC